GCUGAGGUCUAUCCCGAUGGGGUCUCCGUAGACCCACAUCAUUGAAAACGCCUCACAGAGGAAUGUUGUGGUUCUGCUUUACUCACAGAACUAUUUGUUAGAUCUGUGAGAAGGAACUACAAGACAGAU
Small nucleolar RNA from Dasypus novemcinctus (nine-banded armadillo), 129 nucleotides. The record is from Ensembl. NCBI's taxonomy places the organism in Eukaryota, Metazoa, Chordata, Mammalia, Cingulata, Dasypodidae.